GACGAACGCUGGCGGCGUGCUUAACACAUGCAAGUCGAACGGAAAGGCCCUGCUUUUGUGGGGUGCUCGAGUGGCGAACGGGUGAGUAACACGUGAGUAACCUGCCCUUGACUUUGGGAUAACUUCAGGAAACUGGGGCUAAUACCGGAUAGGAGCUCCCGCGGCAUGGUGGGGGUUGGAAAGUUUUAGCGGUUGGGGAUGGACUCGCGGCUUAUCAGCUUGUUGGUGGGGUAGUGGCUUACCAAGGCUGUGACGGGUAGCCGGCCUGAGAGGGUGACCGGCCACAUGGGGACUGAGAUACGGCCCAGAUCCCAACGGGGGGCAGCGGUGGGAAAUAUGGCACAAUGGGCGGAAGCCUGAUGCGGCAACGCCGCGGGCGGAAUGACGGCCUUCGGGUUGUAAACCGCUUUCGCCUGUGACGAAGCGUGAGUGACGGUAAUGGGAAAAGAAGCACCGGCUAACUACGUG
Molecule: ribosomal RNA, 468 nt
Filed under: uncultured bacterium
Lineage: Bacteria
Description: partial 16S ribosomal RNA
Rfam family: Bacterial small subunit ribosomal RNA
Source: RNAcentral